GAUAUAAUGAAAAACUUUUUCUCUGAAAGUGUGGUGAGGUACUGGAACAGGCUGGUGGAGUCACCAUCCUUGGAGGCGCUUAAGAACCAUGUCGAUGUGGCACUGGAGGACAUAGUGGGCAUGGUGGUGAUGGGUUGAUGGUUGUACUGCUUGAUCUUAGAGGUCUCUUCCAACCUUGAUAAUUUUAUGGCUCUGUCUAAUACUGAUGUUCUUGCUGAUAAACCUUCAAAGAACUCUGACAUAGUGGAACAGUUAACUGUUGCUUCCUCUCUGUGUCCCUGCAUGCUGGUUCUUGCCUCUAGUAUUGAUUCCGGACAAGUUGGUGUUUUUCCGCAUUGCAGAAAAAUGGCACAGUACCUUCUAGCACAUGUAAAUUUGUCCUCCUGCUUCUCAUCUGCUCUCAGCUCCUUUUAGUGCUCUUAUUUGGGACCCUUUCCACAUAAUAGCUUCUAGGCUGCAGCUUUUAUCUCUGAAACAGAUAUAGUUACUUCUAAAAAGUAGAUUUCUCUCCUCCUUCCCAAGUUGUAACUAAUGGCUUCCCUUCUAAAGACACAUGCUACCUAAGUGAAAACAGAAAACCCUAAAAAGCACAGCAGGAGAAAUUUUGCUCCCAUUGCAUCCAUGACAUUCAUCGGCACUAGCUGAACGUUUCUGGAGAUCAAACAGUGGAUGUGAGCACAGUGAGGUGAUGGGUGGUUUGUUUCAGCAGUGGUGACAGCAACAGCGGUCAUCUCCACUGCUGCAUGUUUUUAUGAGCACUGCAUGCAGGCUUUUGCUUAUAGAUGGUGAAAAUACACAGGUAAUAGUGGUGUCUGUGUUGAAAAAGUGUUUUGUAGCUAAGAAUUUACUCUAUCAAACUGUUAUUUUGCUUUUUGUAUCUGUUUUAAUUUCCAUGGAAACAAAUAAGCAGUUCUUUCAGGGCACCCUACAUAUGAUUGAAGUAGUGUAGAGCAGGAAAAAUAAAAAAAACCCUAAGAAUCAUGUCUCUCUGCCUUAACUCCAAAAAUAAACAAACAACUCAUUUGUCCCAUGUGAAUAGGAAUUAAAACUUCCCAUUGAAUCUUAAUUUUGAGCCUGUGUUUUCUUUCUGCUUCAUAAUCUCCACAAAACAAUCUGGCAGCAAUUCUUGAGCUUUUUAGCUCCACAUCCUGAGAAAGUUCAAACCACUUUCUUCACACCAUGUCUUUUUCCCUUUCCAAGCACUUGGGCAGGAAGAGGUGAGACCCACCAAACCACAGUUUGCCUUGCUCCCUGUGAGCAAUGCUGUUGAUAUAAUGACCUAGCUCAGACAGGCAGGGUAAAGGCUGAACUGUUUUAUUUUAGUAGCAAAAUUUAUUCUAAAUGGAUGAUUUCCAUCCUUUGUUUUUCUUAAGGGUUUCUGGUAGCUGCCACUGAUUUCCUACAGGAGGGCACUGCAGGAAGGAGGACAAGAGGUGGUACACAUGCGUGUAACUCAGUUGGACAACUGUGUUAUUUCUCUUAAGUUCUGCCCUUUACUGCUUGAGUGUCUGAAGAUUGUCAUGGAAGAGCAAAAUGUACAGCCUUGAGUUUUAGCUCACAAGAAACAAUUAGGACAGAAAGGAAAGGAAAGCCAUAGCGUGCUGCUGUUGUAGGUGGGAUGAGAACAUACAGCAGCAUUAACAGGGCAGACACUCGCUGGUUUUCUCUAUCUUCUGCGUAUCUUGCAUCUCCCAUGUUCUUGUGUCUUAACUUUUCUCACUACCCACAUACUCAUUCUUUUUUUUUUCCUUUCCAUCUCUCGUUUCUUUGCCCUUCUGGCUGUUCACUUUCCAUUGCCUUUGUACCCUGUCAUGCUCAAAGGUUAGACAUGGUGCAGGGGAAAGAACAGCACAUUCUGGCUCCAAAUUAAAUGUAUUUUGGCAGUACUACUGGGAUGCCUAUGGAUCUUUAUGGGCAGACUUCAUACAGCUGUGACUGUGAAUGGAAAGCAGUGCUUUGAACUGAAGAGAGGUGUAGAGGGUCAAAGGAAGGCCUCAUGCUGUGUUUUCAUCAAUAGACAAACAGGCUGUGAAGGUGUGUCCUGUAAACAUCAUUGCUUUUGUGAACUUAUCAGCUCACCCUUUAAACGAGGGCUUGGGGGGGAGGAAGUGGUCAGAAAAUAUUUUUGCAAUUAAAAACCCCCCAAAAUCAAGGGCGUCCUAUUUUUCCAGUGCCUAUUACUGUAAACAUGACAAUUUUAAAGGAAACAACUGCAGUCUGUACCUCCUGAUAUUUCACAGGCAGUUUUGAGUGACUCAAACUAAAAAGCGUGGCAUUGCUUAUUCAUUCCACUGUCAAUAUCUUAAAGUAUUCUACACUCAGUUUUGAGAUUAAUGUGAUAAGCUAUGACUCUCCCUGUUAUUUUUUCCAGUGUUUUUUUUCUCUUUUAAUUUAAAAUAUAUCCGUUUUCUCUUGUACUGAGAGCCAUUCAGAGGCUUUGAAGAUAAGGGAAUAUUUUGCACCAGCCCUCACUGAGGUUCAUUCUGGAAAAUAGUUAUAGAAAACCAAUUGAUUUUUCAGAAAGAUCAAAGUGCUUUCAGAGAUGUGCAAUAGUAUCACAUUCUUCUUUCGGUUACGUGAGUGCAGCUGUGCUGAAGACCUGGAGCAGCAGUGAUGUGGUGCAUGCACUGCAGCUACUCCCUUCCUUAUUCUCAUAGGAAGCUCCUGCAUUGAGAUAGGCAGAGGUAUUAGGUUUUCCAAAAGUUUCUUGACUUCUGACAUUAUCAUCCAUGACCUGGUGUCUGUAUUUCAGUAGCCCUCUGCUGCCAGCUGAGGCUGAGUGGUCACUCACCUCAGUGGUGCCAUCUGUUCUGCAUUAUGUGAUAUAAAAUACAGGGUGUUCUGCCUUGCCUGCCUGGAGAAAGUUCUUAGUUCAUAAUAGUUGGUGAUAACACCAAUCCUUAGGUUUUGUGCUUCUGUGUACCAAGCCAGAUUUUUCAGUUUUGUCCAGGAAGUUAUUCAACAAGUUAUUCUCAAAGGUAGUCAAUGUCUGAUCUGGGAGUUAUGACUCCAAAAAUAUCAGGCUGAUAUUAUCAAAGUGAUAUUUCAGGAAAGAAUGUCAAACUGAUGGAUUACAGGAAACUGCUGAGAGAGCUAGCAUUUUACUGGAUCUUAAGGAGAUGACAGAUCCAUGAGUCCCUGUUUUGUCAAAGUUACAGACAUGUAUAACUGUAGCUAAAAGUGGUAGCUGCUUUACUAUUAAUGUUUUUUUGUCAUCAGAUAUUGGUUUAGAUGAGAUGUAAACUUGCUUCUUAUUACUCAGAAAAUCAUCAGCUGCCUUCUUCCAGGAAUAGUGACUGACUGACAGUGGGACUGGCCCAUGUUGGCCCAUAGAGCCUGCUGAUAGUGAGUAAAGAGGAGCAGUGGUUGGAAGGAGAUCUGCCAGCAGCAAUGUAAUUAAACCAAAUAUUAAAUGGCAAGAGAGUGACAGGGUCCCUAGGUUAGCUCUGUAUUUGCUACAAUCCCUUUCUAAUCAGCCACAAAAAAGAGAAAGCAGAGUCUUACUUCUCUUGCUGAAAGAUGCUGUCUUACUCCAUAAGUCAAGUUGCAGAGACAUCUGUAGAUCCCAUGGUUGUGGGAGCAUGUACAUAACAUGUAUUAUUAAGUAGUCUCUCAGCUCCACGGAUAAAGGCCUGUGCUGACAAUUUAAGCUUUAGUCCUCCUGAUGUUUCAUUUUGUGUAGAGCUUGUGGUUGCUGGGUUUUAAACUGACAUUUUUAGUUCAAUGAGAUUUCUGGUUGGUUUGUCAUUUGUUUGUUUUGUGUUUUUGUUUUUUUUUUUUAAUGUGGGGGCAAGGCUAAGUUAAGUGUUAAUUCCUGGCAUAAAACAGCCACACUUUUCACUUUGUAGUAUUAUGUUACCUGGAUCUAUUGUUCAGCUCAUACAAAGAUGAGGACAGACAUUGGUGGAGGGACUUCUGUAUAGCUGUGCAAUAUGGUUUAGACUGGACUUCAGAGGUACUGAGCUGAUCCUAUGAGACUAUACUCUAAUUUGUCUGAGAUAAAUGAUUUUUUUUGAAGACUUUCACUGUGUCUGCUUGCAGGAACACCUACUGGACAUCUAGUGCCUCAUAAGCAAAUUGAUAACAUUGACCUGCUUGCAGGAACCAUUGUAGUAGGUCUUCCAGUUUGAGGCUAAAGUUCAAAAAUAUGAAGCUCAAAGCAGGUUGUGUCAGUUUUUGGUUACGUCGCCUGUCCAUUUGUUACUUACACAAAAAUACUUGCAUGGAAUUUGCUUACUGUAUUACUGCCAUACUGCCAAAAUAGAAAGUUUUGAAAACUGAUCUAAUGCAAGAGAGGUAAAAAUAAAAAUAAUAAAAAAAGAUAAUGCUUUUUAACUCCUGAGAUUCAUAUGCAGGGUGGGCUUCUGUUUUAAAAAGGAUCUAAAUUCAAACAUUUGCUCAAGUUACGGACCCCAAGGAGCACAAGACUUUUAUAGCAAUGAUACAACCUUUUGAUGAACAGUGUAGAAAUCUUUAGGAGUUUUGUUUAAAAAUCUGUGGGGAAAAAUGUGCAUGUGUGUGAUUACACAGAUGAAACAGAAGCUCUUUCUGUGCUUGAAUGGGAAGAUGCAGGGAAGCAAGACCUAUUUCUUCACUCCUGCUUUAAUUCUUCUGCCAAAGAGAAUUUUCUUGCCUGUUGGCUGGAACUAUCUUCACUUGAGACACCUCUAGUGUUAAAAAAAUUAUUCUUGAAAUGCUCAGAUAAGUGUUAAUACAUUCAGCCUCGAAGAACCCUAAAGAAUGACUUUUUUUUGUAUGGAAAUGCAUACUUGAGCUAUCUCGUGCAAAAUGCACCAUGUUUACAUGGUAAGGGUCUCUGACCCACAGAGAUGUCAUGUCUGUGGUAACACUGACCAAGAGUGUGCAAGAACUGAGUUGCAACGCUUCUCAUUAAAAUAGAAAAACUUCAUUAAAACCAAAUUAAACUCAUGCAUCAGCACUUUCUAAACUGUCCUGUAAGCAUUUAUGAGCUUUUCUUUGACACAUUACUGUCCAGGAAAAAGUGUUCAUUUCUUAUACACUUAAUAUUUAGCAAAACCUCUUCUAGUUCCCCCUUCCUAAUAAUUAGUCACUUAGCAUCACUUUUAAGCAAAAAAAAAAAAAACCAACAAAACAAAACCCUACACUACAUAGAUGGUAUUUUCCAGUCUGAACUCAAGUCAGCAAGACAUCCUCUCUUCUGUACGGUUUAAAGAUAGAAAUUAGUAUUCAUAGAAGUGUAGUUAGAUGACUUUGGAGUGGGGGCUUCCUGAAAGCCAUGUUCAAAAUGUCCAAACUGAGGUGCCAGGUAGCCAGUAACUGCAUUUAUGUUUGGUGCUACUUAGUUUCCUGGGUCUUGCUUAGAUCAGAAUUAGUCUGGUGGCACCACAGAAAUAUUCAGAGGCGCAACAUACAGUCUGGGGAGCUGAAGGGAAGGCCAGCUGCCCUGAGAGUGCUGCGGGGAAGCUAUUUGCAGCGGGCAGUGUGAAAGAGGGUGUUUGUCCCAUGAAGAUGAUGUCUGCGCUGAAUAGGUUAGCAGCAAUUUGGGUUCACUUCUUGGAGAGAUUAAUAGGAACGGGUAGCAUGGAAUGCCCUAGCAGGGGGGAGGUCAGUGAGCAACGCAUGGGAAAAGGGUGUGUAAAGUCCCCCUGCACUUGAGGGUUUGAACUAAUUGCAUAGAGGAAGGAAAGGGCUGAGGCAUCACCAGUGGCAUCUGCCCUUGGUAUUAAAAAGCGGAAAGGAGGUCCUAAGAGAAGGAGGCUGCCCAGAUAACAGGAUGAAUAAUAGGAAGAUCAGCUUUAUACCUUUAUAUAAACAGAGAUUAAGAAAUAAAUAAUAGACUCAGUUACAAAUGUUAUCUAUGUCUGGCUUCCUUGGGUAUGUGAAUGAGCAAAGUCUCAGUCUACUUUUUUCCUCAUGAGACUCUCCCUCAUUCAAAGUCUAGAUGUAGAUAGCACUCCUACUUUUGUUUGUUCAGGUUGUGGCUUUCAGUCAUUUUCACUGCUCCAAAUGCUUUGAAAGCCCAUGCCUUCCGGUCCCCUGUUCCUCCUCUCCUUCCACCUCCUCCUCUCCACUUCCUGUCAAGGAUAAACACAGAUAGGUGUUUGCUGUGCUACUGUGAAGGGCCUGAGGAAAUGAGUAACAUGCAAUCAGAUUGAGGGGGCUUCCUACUUUUGUCUUCUCUUUCUCAAUGGAGCAUGAACAACCAUGGAGCAAGUUAGAAUUGUUAUUAUGAUGCACAAAUGGUAUUUCUUGCUCACCAAACACAGCCCAAUGUGCCCUAUCCUUUCCUUCAAGUUCUUGUUUGUUCCUUAACCAAGGCAACCACUCCUAAAAUAACAGCUAGCUGACUUCAUGGGCUAUCUGAGUGCUGAUAGGCGUGGAAAAAAGAAAAAAAUAGUAUGUGAGUUUAAAAAGUAAGUUUUUCAAAUGAAUUAGUAAAGUAUCUAUUCAGAUAGAGGCAAAAUGAAUUCCUACAAUCUUUCAGAAAUAUUUUUAUACUUAAUGACCUAAAGUCUGACUGGAGGAAAAAAAAACCAAAAACUUUUUCAUCAGAAAACAUUUUUUUCUUCUUUCAACUUUCUGGGAGAAAUCUUCCUUCUAUGAAAAAAAAGUCAAAAUAUCACUUACGAUGAUCACAUUAAAUGUUGUAGGUAGAUGCCUCUGACCUAAGCAUCCCUUCUCCUAUGGAUUACUUCAGAGCAUGACAUUUUCAAGACAGGGCUGCAUAUGCCUUUUGUGUUUGUUCGGACAAAAAUGCUACUUCCAUGCAGCAAUUACUGUGAGGUGACACACUGUCCCCGAUGCUAUGAUGAUUACAGGGCAUUGCUUUAUGCACAUCACGCCCUGAAUGCAGCCCUUUCAUCUGCCACACAUGCACCUUGGAAAUAAAUAUGCAUUUAUUUAGGGAAAAUGUAGGUGAAAUGGUAGAAAAAAAAAAAAGGGUUCUGGUGUUUGUUUGUUUGUUUGAAACUAUGAAUGUUAAAACCUCUCUUUGGCACUCAAAAGCUGUGUUGUUCUUGCUUGCCAUCCCGAAGACCUUCGCAAGUUCUGGAAAGUCUCAGAUGACACUAAUGAUGUUUAUUUCUCCUUACCCUAAUUAUUCCUCUCUGGGGAAGUUCAUAGGGCAGUGAAGACUCUGAGCAGGAUUUGUUUGUCUUGGAAGUCCAGACAUAGGGCCCAGUAAUCCCAUGACCUGUUCCCUGCUCUGAUACCCUUCCCACUGUGCUCAGCUCUGGUAGUCACUGUAGGUUUCAUGACCCUUGAGUAAACCUGAAGAAAGUCCAGAGUUGCACCAGUGCUGUGUGCUGGGUUGUGUAAUUGAGUGAGAGUUCUUGAGUCUUCCAGAGAGCUCUACUUGCCAUUAUCCACAGAGGUGCUGCUGGAGGUGGCCAUGCCAAGCCCGGGUGCCUUGGCUUCCUGGAGGGCAGCAGGUCUCAGCCAGCAGAGCCCAAAUCUUGCAUGUGGUCAUGGCAGCUUUUCUGCAUAUGCAAUUUGCUCUAAGGUAUCUGAUGGCUCCCAUAAUGGAAGAUUUGCUGCAGUAAUGACAUUCAAGCAGUGGUGGAGUAACCAGUAAGAAAUCAAGUCCUAAUUAAAAAACAGGAGCUUGUUAAAACACUGCCUGUGAUGAUAUACAAUUUUGCAACCAAUUUUUUCUGCAUUUAAGUUAGAGACUAACCCAUUAGAGGGCAUGUCUAUUUUGGAAUGACAAAAUAGAGAAAGAAAGAGCCAAAAAUUAAUGAUAAUCUAAUCAUGUGGCUGUUAAUCAGGAGCACAUAAACUGGCAAUACUGCCCUCCGUCUGGAGGAGUAGCUAGCAAGAUGUCUGUUUAUAAAAAAAGAAUUAUGAGAAUGUUAGGAAGAUUAAUUUUAGACAUCUUGUUAAAAUAUCCAGGCUUAAAUUUAUAAGCCUUCCUCUUUUGUAUUUGGGCAAAUUGCAGUUCUCUGAGGCCCUGUCAUAAAGUGUAUUUAUUUUUCUGUUCUUCAGAAGAAAAGUGAUAGUUAAAUGCCAAAAGUAUAUUUUCUGCUUAUGGAAAGUUGUACUUCAUUGCAGUGGCUGUCCUCUGAGUAACGCAUUUUAUGAGAAUCAGAGUAGUAACUUCAGGGUGGGAUAUUUCAUGCUGCAGUCUUUCUCGGCUCUCCUGCUGAUCUGAAAUGCCCACUACAAACCAAAGGCUUGGCCCCUCUUUCCUGUGCUUGCACUGAUCUGCUUGGUGUACCUUGAGUAAAUAUUCUUCUCUUCAUCUCCUUUCUUCCUUGUUUUUCACCUUCUUCACCUUUAUUUCUGUAAUUUGUAAAAAAAAAAAAAAAGAAGGACUUGUGUUAAGUGAUCUUUUGACUUUGUGGAUGUUGCUCUGAUGGCUAUGGCAGGAGCUCUGUCUAUGGCUAAGGAAGGCGAGAAGUCAUAGCUCAAGUUUUGGUAUGGUUUUCCUUUACUCUUUACACUGAUACUUGUGUGUUUCUCAUGGUUCUCUUUCAGUGACUGCUCUAACAGUAAAUCAGGCCUGGGAAUGUAACCUUCCUGCCCACACGUAUUAUAAAGGAAUUGUCCUUUUCCAUGAUGGAAAGGGGUUAAUAGCAGUUGCAAUGGCCUGUGUGGUAUGUCUGCUCCACUUGCUUCCGCUACCGUGGAGCUCGUUGUUUGGACGAACACAAUACCAUAAAAAUACUCUUUUAUCAUUAAUUUUCUUCCUUUUGGUUUAUCCACCAGAAGUUUGUCUCAGGAAAAGUUUAUGCUGAAAUAUGUUGGGGACAAACUGUAACUGAACUGUUUUUCUGCGUGACAGAAGAGAAAGCUGGGAUCCAGUUUCUCACCACCACUAACCUCUGUACUCACUUUUAUCUGCUACGAAAACUGUUAUGUCAGACACAUCCUCCUUUUCCCUGUUUGUCUGAAAAUCUGUGAUCGUGCUACAGAAAACAGCGGAACUGAAGCCUGAGGGCUAGACUGAAGCUUUGCAGUCAUACACAUCUUUGGUUUCCCUUUACUGCUACCUUCAUGCUCAGUGGGAAGAAGGUGACUCUGCUUUAUAUCACAGAGGGGAUUCCUCCACUUUUCAUCCUGGCUCCUUCCUCUCAUCCAUUGUACUCACUGCUGCCUCUGAACACCUGGGCACCACACCACAGCGCAGUUUCACUCCUCUGUGUCUGAGAGGCUGAAACAGAUGCUUUGUGCAAUGGCUUAUGGUAACUGUACUCUCAGUUUUUAUUCACUGUUGUAGGAGGAUGUCCACAAAUUAAUGUGAAUUGAGGAUCUUCAGUCCUGGAUCUAGGCUCAAAGGAUCAAACUCAGAGCCAGCAUAUUGAUCAGGAGAAAGAAGAUGAGUAAAAGUGAGCACAUUUUGAAGCCCUGUAUUUGUCAGAGAUGGAUCUGAAUGAGAGCAGGGAAUACCCUGGACAGAACUGUACUCAGUUUUCCCUUCUAAGAAAACCAAAAGCUUACAGCUCUGAAGUCUUUCCAAGAGAGAAGAGAAACCAAACUGGAAGAUGAAAGCAUUGCACAGGCACCAAAUGCUGUUUCUGUUCAACCUUUGUUUCAUCGAGAAAAGUGGGUGUCUAAAAUCAAAGCACACAUUACUUCCCGUCACAUACUUACAGUGUGAGACCAGUGUUUUAGUAGAGUCUGCUGCCAGACUACAGAGAAAAGGAAGCUUGUGGAUCACUGGGUUUUUCAGCCUCUGAGCAUGAUAACCAACCAUUUUAGGCAACUGUGACGUUGCCAGCUGGGGUGCUGACAGUGUUACUGUAACCACAGUCUUCAUUAGUUGAGUGUUCCUCUUGCUCUCCUACUGUGACAGAGGCUUCAUGAAUUUCUUCAGAAAACAGAGGAUCUACUAAAGUUACCACUUCUUCCAGAAAACCGCGGCAGUCAGUAACUAAGUCAUGAACAAAGAAAACUAAAAGCUAUUUUUAAAUUUUAUCUCAUGUUAUUAAGUGUAAAGGAAAUGAUAUUUCCGUAAGGUUUUAGGCCUUUCUGCAGAAUUUGUGAAAAUGCAGAAAAAUGGUGCUAGAUCCCCAAUAUGAAGAUUAAGUGGGAGAUUUCCUAGUAAUAAACAGCUUUAAAAAGGAAGAGAGUGAUUUAGCAGGUGUAACCUCUGCUUCACCAUCCUUCCUGUAAUCCAGAAAUGCCAAAAAGUAGGUGCGUUGAGUUUCUCAGUGCACGCUGAAAGUCAACAAGCCUAGCAUUUUUAAAUGAUUUUUUAUAUAUAUUUUUAAACCAAUUUCAAGACUGAAAUUGUUCUAGUACAGGUUAGAAGAAAGAAAACAAAUGUGAUCUGUUAAGCCUCUGAGCAGUGGUUUUAUGAUUAUCCUAAGCUCUGAGGAACAGCUAACUGUAAGACUUACUCACAGGCAGGUGUCAGAUGAAGUAGCUCCACAGAUUCUGGCUAUGCUGUAGUGAAUGGUGCUGAGACCUGAUGAAACAUGUCACAGUUCCAUCCUUCCGUCAUUAGAUACGUUAGUUCAUCUGGCUGCUUGCAGAAAUGUUAUGCAUGCAGUAGAUGUGCUUUCCUGUGGAUACUACGCCAACUGGGAGAGGCAGUAGUCCACAGAAGAUAUUAUAAGCCACAAUUUCAGAUAGAAAGAAGUAAAGGAUGGUUAUUAAUAAGAAGCUCUUAUCUGCAAAGAAAAUCUGGGUUACCUGUGAGUAAAAGCCACUUGGAUGUAAACCUACUUGCCACAUCACUAACUUAAGGCAGAAAUGUUACUCUGGCACAAAACUGGCACACAAUGAUCACUCCCAGGUGAGGCUGAUGACAUUUCAUGCCCAACAUAUUUUGUGCUCCGAAUUUUAGGUUACCAAGUAAAUCUCCUCUCAAUAGGAAGACUAAAAUCAAUCACACAAAACAUGUAUAAUUAACUAUGCAAGUUUGUUAUAAUAUGAAGACCUUUGUUUCACAGACCAAGAUUCAUAAUAUUUAGAAGCUAAGUCUCUUAAUAGUGUUUCCAGUAUUGAUUUUUUUCCCCAUUUAUUUAAUUCUACUACAAUAACUAUACAAUCAUAGAUUCGGAGAAUAUCUUGAGCUGGAAGGAACCCAGAAGGAUCACUGAGUCCAACUCCUGACUCCACGUGUGACCAUCCAAAAUCCAAACCCAGUGUCUGAGAAUGAUGUCCAGAAUGGUGGCACCUCAGAGCCAUUCCCACUGGGCAGCCUGUUCCAGGGCCCCACCACCCUCUGGUGAAGAACUUGUCCCUAACUCCCACCUGACCUUCUCCCGACACAGCUCCAUGCCAUUAUAGCAUGGAGAUUCCUGGAGAUGUGCAUACUUAUGGGAAGGGGAAUAAGAAUUUGAAAUUAGGGUUCAGGCUAGGUAGUGAGUUGCUGUUAUUAGGAAUGUAAAAAGGGCAUGGGAAGAUCACCUAUGUGAAACUGAAAAGAUAUGUAUGAUGACAUGCCGCUACCAACUGACCCUUGCAGUUGGAAAUAUUCAGCCUGAGGGCUUGGUUCACCUGGUUCCUAAGCAUUUUCUUUUUCUUUAGGCUUUUUUUUUUUUUUUUUUCACUGAAAAUGGUAGUUCUUCACCUUGCAAAUCACUGUCUGUACAGAGGGGCAUGACACUGGUUCCAUAUCAGUCUCUGUAGCCAGCUCUUCUUUCCUCUAGGCUCUCGUGGUCCUCCUUGGGAACCCUUUCUGUAUACCCAUUCAGAUCUGUCUCUCCUGCUUUCCAAGACCACCUCCUGACUCAUCCCUGGCACCAUCUGAGCACUUCUUCCUAUCUCUGGUUCCUGUUAUCUCUGGGAUGGCAUUUUUGAUCUGAAAUGUGCUACGGAGAUCACAGAAUGGGGAACCCGCUGCAAGGAGCAGGAUGGAGAGCAGGCUGGGCAUGGAAAUGAAUACUUGCCUCUCCCCUCAACCUUCUUGUGCACAUGGGCUGGUGGUGUGGGCUGGUUCCAAGGCUCAGCUCUAGGUCUGUGUUCCCUGUUCCUUACAAGGAUGUGGGAUAGAGGGAGACCCAGGGAACAUGUCUGGAAGGUGGGAAGGUCCUAGCUGGCAGCAGUGUCGUGGUGUGGAGCUUGGUUCUGUAUCUCAAAACAUCACACAUUGCCAUCAGUCUGUGCAACUCCUCUUCUUCUGGAGGACGCUGCCUUAGUGGUGCCUGCAGUGCAGUCUCAGUGGACCCUAAGGGGAGUGACUCAGGAGAACCAAGGAACAAACACUCUGUACACCAGAUUUCUUUGGGUUUUGGGCGGACUCCUACCAUUUAUAGAAUCAUAGAAUCGUAGAAUGGCCUGGGUUGAAAGGUUGAAAAGGACCACAGUUAUCAUCUAGUUUCAACCUCCUGCACACUAUUUUAGGGGGGAAACAGCGGGAAACCAACUGAUGCAAGAUGAUGCCUUUUUCACAGAAUUGCAAACUUCAGUUUUCACAUAACUAUAGCUGUAACUCUUCUUUCUGCUCUCGCCUCGCUGCCUGCUCACCUUACAAUGCAAAAUGGGCCUUGGGAUAUUUGUGGUGAUGUGGGUGAAAAUAUUGCAAAAACAGAUAAUUAGAGAAGUGGGGCUUGGCAAGCUGUUGUUUGACCUGAUAAUAUGGCAAAGUGUAUGGUUUACCAAGAGCAGUCCCAUCUGAACAGACUUUAGGGAGGACAAGGAGCUGACAGAUGAGUAAGUAAGCCUCACAUGAUCACCUUUAUUUUUGCUUUCAUACGCAAGCAAGAUUCAGAGGUGGAGGGUAUAAACAAAAAAAGUGAAACUAGGAGAGUUUAUGUGUUUACGGCCUAAGAGCCCACUCCUUCCAUCAAGGCUUGUAAGAGGCUUCUGUGCUGUGCAGGUUACUUUGGGAGGCAGGAACUGGAUACCACAGCUGCAUCUGCCUCUCAUACAAAAAGAAUGAAAAGCCUCUGAAUCAUGAUGCAGCAUAGUAAUGUGCAUUAACAGACCUUCAGCUCCACAGACUUCACACUCUUCCUUCCCUGUGGGUGUGUGGGUCUAACUGACAGCUGUCCAGCUUUGUAUUCUUUGGGCUUCUUGUUUGACUGUACCCAUGUAACGUAUUCAGUAUAAAAAUAGCAAAAGAGAAUCAAGAAGUAGCAAAUCACCUGGUAAAAGCUGGAGGUCAUCAGACCAUGUCUUACAGAGGGUGCACAGGUGUUGUACAUCCCCCACAAAGCAAGUCACAGCUAUUUGUUUUCUGCAGUGUGCAAAGGCCAUCCACUGGGCCUUAACACAACUGCUGUUAGGUGUGAUGCCUCAUGUGUAACAUCACUGAGAGGGGCACUGGGUGAUUGGGAUGAACAUGCAAGUUUCUUUUUUGAAAAUACUGAAUCAUAGAAUCAUUAAGGUUGGAAAAGACCACUGAGAUCAUCUUGUCCAACUGUCAACCCAUUACCACUGUGCCCACUAGCCGAGCUACACAGACCUUCUAUCCACUGAGCAGUUUAACUGCACUGGGAGAAAUAUCAAUUCUUCUAUUUCUUUCAAAAGAGAAUGAAAACUGUAGCUGCACUUGACCUGAUUGGAUUAUUUGUACCUAAAGUAGCAGAUGUUGCACCUUAAAUGGCAGUUUCAGUCAGCACCUUUUGUUUCCUUCCCUCAAAAGACGUAGACUUUCAGUGGUUUUGAUUUAAAAAAAAAAAAAAGAAAAAGAAAAAGUAAGCUCCAGUGCUUUGCUUUUCUAUACUGGCACAUCUGAUGGUGAGGUGGCAGGGUGUUUCCUGUUGAUCUACAAAAAUCUCAUCUUCCAAACCAAACCUUGAUCUCUGGGGACCUCUUCUUAAGCCAUGGUUUGGCCUUGAUCUGAGAGUGGAACACAGCAUUUCAGAUUUCUCUAGCGUUGCACCUGGUGGCUGUGCAGUACAUCUCACAGCUGUGCUUGGCCUCCUUUACUCUCAGUCACAUGAGCAUAAUUCUGGAGCAGAGUGCAUGAUGGGUGGAAGACAAGUGUGCCACGAGCAUAACAAAUGAUCUACGUUAUCAGCAUAGCAGGGUUAAUGUGUAUCUGAUAAAAACUUUGGUGUCAAUUGGAACUAUGGCAGCGUAAGAGAUGAAGAAGCUUGACUUCCUUCCAUUAACUGCAAAGCAUCUGGUGCGUUAUAUGCACACUGAGAACUGAUCCUCUCUUCCUUUUCAAUUGUGGUCUGAAUUUUUAACCAUGUUGAAGACUCUCUGUUUGCUUCUGCAAACCUCUUGGUGCAGACAUUGCUAAAUGUAAUUUUUCAGAGUAUUGAGCUGCAGGAAUAGAUGCAUGAUAUCCAAACUAUAAUGAAAUGACUGCUGCAAAAGAAGGGCAUGAGCAUUCUCCUCUAAAUUCAAAUGACACUUUGGUCCUCACCUCCUUUUUAUCUUCUUUCCCACAAACCUGAGCUUGAAGCGUAAGUGUUCAAGGCCAGAUAGGAUGGAGCCCUGGGCAGCCUGGUCUGGCAUUAAAUGAGGAGGUUGGUGGCCCUGCAU
Molecule: non-coding RNA, 14367 nt
Organism: Phasianus colchicus (ring-necked pheasant)
Lineage: Eukaryota; Metazoa; Chordata; Aves; Galliformes; Phasianidae
Source: RefSeq, a predicted model, not a curated record